GAACUCCGCACGCAUAUUCAGUUGCCUCCAAUCAAUCGGAGCCUCGUCCGCCUCCUUCCUUUCCUUCGUUCGGGCUCUGCAAUUCCUGCUUUUGGGUGCAGCGCACAAGGUCGAAUCGAGCCUCUCUCUCUUCUCAGGUAAUCAUGGAGUCUCUGCACGAAAACGCCGCCGCACAUCCUCCUCCUCCGCUCCCUCCAUCGGGAACCCUAGCGUCCCACGCUGAUUACCCGCCUCCGCCGCCGCCUCCGCCGGAGCCGCAAUCGUUGGAUUAUUACUAUAGCUCCUCGAUUCAAAUGGGUAAUCAUCAGAAUCCAGCUCAGGACGCUCAAAAUCCCAACGGUUCUCUCAGUAAUGGCCACUUCCCUGCCUCGGAGAACCAAAAUCCUGGUCCUAGACCUGAAAUCGCGAAGGUUGUUUUAUCUGACGGUGGGGCACUUACGAACACUCACAGCGGAACUGAUAAGGACGUCUCUGGAGGCGAGGAGGAGACCACCAGUCGGAGACGCCGUCGCAGCCGUUGGGACCCGCCUUCCGAUUCUAAUGAGCAGAGCGGCGGCGGCGGUGUGGGUAAUGACUCUGGAAGCGGCACAAGGAAGCGCAAGUCGCGCUGGGCGGAUGAUGAGCCGAAGCUGCCUGCGAUUCAGCUUCCGGAUUUCAUGAAAGACUUCACUGGAGGUAUUGAGUUUGACCCUGAAAUUCAAGCCCUUAAUGCUAGGCUGUUGGAAAUUAGCAGGAUGUUGCAGUCUGGUUUGCCCCUUGAUGAUAGGCCAGAGGGAGCUCGCUCCCCUUCUCCGGAACCUAUAUAUGACAACAUGGGUAUUAGGAUCAAUACGAGAGAGUAUCGUGCUCGUGAGCGUCUGAACAAGGAGAGACAGGACAUUAUAACUCAGAUUAUUAAGAGGAAUCCAGCGUUUAAGCCCCCGGCUGAUUAUAGGCCUCCCAAGCUGCAAAAGAAGUUGUACAUACCAAUGAAAGAGUACCCCGGUUACAAUUUUAUUGGACUUAUCAUAGGACCUAGGGGCAAUACCCAGAAAAGGAUGGAACGUGAAACUGGUGCAAAGAUCGUCAUUCGUGGAAAAGGUUCGGUGAAAGAGGGUAGGUUGCAGCAAAAGAGGGAUUUGAAGCCUGAUCCAGCAGAGAAUGAGGAUUUGCAUGUUUUGGUGGAAGCGGAGACACAGGAGGCACUAGAUGCAGCUGCAGGGAUGGUGGAGAAACUGUUGCAGCCUGUUGAUGAGGUUCUAAAUGAGCACAAGAGGCAGCAGCUGAGAGAACUUGCUGCAUUAAAUGGGACCAUAAGGGAUGAGGAAUUUUGUAGAUUAUGCGGGGAACCGGGACAUAGGCAAUAUGCGUGUCCUUCACGUACUUCUACAUUUAAGAGCGAUGUGCUCUGCAAAAUCUGCGGUGACGGUGGACACCCUACUAUUGAUUGUCCUGUGAAGGGAACUACGGGCAAGAAAAUGGAUGACGAGUAUCAGAACUUCUUAGCUGAGCUUGGAGGCACCAUGCCUGAGUCUGCCACCAAGCAGAGCAGUACUUUGGCCAUUGGUGCUGGGCCUGCUGGCAACUCUGGAAGCAACCCUCCUUGGGCUAAUAGUGCUGGUGGCACUGGGACAAGUUCACAUCCUGGUUUAGGAUCAAACCCGGUUAAGCUUUCUAAAGAGUAUGAUGAUACAAAUUUGUACAUUGGAUACUUACCACCUACCCUUGAUGAUGAUGGUUUGAUUCAGUUAUUCUCGCAGUUUGGGGAAAUUGUGAUGGCUAAGGUUAUCAAGGACCGUGUUACUGGACUGAGUAAAGGGUAUGGUUUUGUUAAGUAUGCAGAUGUUCAGAUGGCCAAUGCUGCUAUUCAAGCCAUGAACGGUCAUCGGCUUGAUGGGCGAACCAUUGCUGUCAGAGUUGCAGGGAAGCCUCCCCAACCUACCGUGCCUCCUGGCCCUCCUUCAUCAAGCAUGCCGACAUACACUGUGCCGACACAACCAGUUGGUGCAUAUCCCUCGCAGCAAUUCACAGCAGGUGGUCCUCUACCACCUGUUCCUCCUGCGGGCUAUACAUCGACUCCCGUUCCGUGGGGGCCACCUCUGCCACCGCCUCCUUAUCAUUAUCCUCCUCCGCCGUAUAUGGGUCAUGUUCCAAUGCCAGGCCAACCCAUGCCUCCUUAUGGCAUGUCUUAUCCUCCCCCUCCGCCAUCUGCACAGCCAGUUCCACCAGGUGCUCCGCCUCAGACUGCUCCUCCUACCGAAGCACCACCAAGCUACCCCCCUGGAGUUCAAUCUGAAAACACUAGCUCUUCUCAUUCGGCUCCUGUUAGUGCUUAUGGAACAGCUGCUUCAAUGAUGCCUGCUAGUGCUCAGCCAAUAUACGCUGCAUCUUCUCUGGGUUAUGCUCCAUAUUAUGGUGCUUAUCCUCCCCCAGCUCCUGCACCCACUUCGAAUGCCGAUCCUUCUCAGAGCAUUGCAAAUGUACCUUGGGCGUCAAAUCCUCCUCCGCCACAGCCACCUGCAACUUCCUCAGAGCAGUCAUCGUAUGGAGGAGAUGCAGAAUACGAGAAAUUCAUGGCACAGAUGAAAUGACGUGGGUCCUGUUCUGUGAUUCUACGCAAAUGAAAGGAGUGAUGUUUCUUGGAGCUCUUGUCAACCUGAUUUCUUACCUCUUGCGAUUAUUGGAAGUUUGGGACUCACAUCAUUAACCUUGCUGUGCUGUUAUGACAUUGCAGAAAUUGGACAGGAAAUUCGAUCUACGCAGAUGAAAGAUGCCUAUUCUGCGGUGACCGUAUCUUAUAUCAUGCCCUAGCAUUUGAAGACAUUGAUGUUUGCCCUUUUCAUAUCUUUCGGGAUGGUCGUUCUCCUUAGAAGUCGAAGUUCCUUUGUAGAUAUCCGAGAUCCAGGAUUCCUGCAGAUCAAUCUCAGGACUGAAAUCAUCCUUCAGCAGGAGAGAUGCUAGUCCUAAACCUGAUCUCUGACGCUAUCUCUUGCAGGUUUUUAUUGUCCAAAUUGUAUGUCUGAUAUCGUAUUGACAUAAAAUGGGCUUGUGCGUUGUUUGCUCUGAUACAGUAUCCAUGGUCCUCAUCAAAGGAGUCUUGAGGCUCUGCUGCAUAUGGGCGCUCAUUAUGUUGUCCGUCACUCUUUUUUAUGCCAGUGGAUUAGCCGUUCGCAGACUAUAAUCAGUUGACUUCCUAAGAUUUCACUUUGAACUUGCUCAGGCUAAAAAUUGUAUGCUUCUUAGAGAAGUUGGCCGCUUCUGGUUAUAGUCAGAUCUAGUCGGAUCCAAACUGAUGGAUGGAUGGUUGACCAGAUGCUCAGUGUGUAUAUAUUUGUUGAGUGCCUGAACAGUAGUACAUCGAGUCCCUGAUUCGGUCAAGCCUAA
This is an RNA transcript of Rhodamnia argentea, 3363 nucleotides long. It is a transcript of the gene named splicing factor-like protein 1, with no coding region annotated. The transcript is spliced from 4 exons. The record is from RefSeq and is a predicted model, not a curated record. Lineage: Eukaryota; Viridiplantae; Streptophyta; Magnoliopsida; Myrtales; Myrtaceae.